UACAACUAUAUCUAGUCAAAUAUUAUUUACUGUCAUCCUGGCAAAGAGAAAAUAAAUCAGUAAUUAGAAAUGAGUUAUUAAGACUAUUAUGAUUAAAGAUGUGUUGAAAAAAAACUUCUCUGCUUUAAAGAGAAAUUGGGGGAAAAAUAAACAGGGUAUCUUAUAAUUCAGGGGGCUAAUAAACCUGACUUCAACUGUAUACAAACAUAUUUUUCUGGCAAACAUGUUACAUAACAUGCUUUAUACAUUUAUGUGACAUAUGUUUCAGGCAUAUAUAUUACAUGUAUGUUUCUGACAUUUAUGUGACAUACAGUGUAUGUUUCUGGCAUAUACAGUUGAAACCAGAAGGUUACAUACACUAAUAUAAAAAGGCACAUAACCAUUUAAAAAAGUCAGAUGUUGUGUGACUAAACUUUUUCUCAUUUAGGUAAAUUAGGAUUGUCAAAUUUGUUUCUGUUAUGCUUAAUAGCAGAAUAAUGAGAGAGAUAUUUUUUAAGAAAUUGUUAUAACGGUCACACUUUACAAUAAGAUUAUUAUGCAUCUGAAAAAGUUCAGAUGAUGGUGUCAAGGUUUUGGAAGUUUCUAAUUGGCUAAUUGACAACAUUUAAGUUAAUUGGAGGCACAGCUGUAGAAUAGUAUUUAGGGAAAACC
Danio rerio (zebrafish) is the source of this 651-nucleotide non-coding RNA. Lineage: Eukaryota; Metazoa; Chordata; Actinopteri; Cypriniformes; Danionidae. The record is from Ensembl.